AUCACUUCUCGGCCUUUUGGCUAAGAUCAAGUGUAGGGGGAAAUAUGUAAAUAGUUGAAGAUCUGGACAAAAUUCAGCACAACUCAUUGAGACCAUUUUUGUUUUGGGCAGGUUAAUAAAAUGGGAAUUUCACUGAUAAGCCACACCUCACUAUGUUGUGAUAUUCUUUGUUACAAUGAACUUUUAUAUUUGGGGGAAGUAAA
RNAcentral lists this small nuclear RNA (203 nucleotides) under Catagonus wagneri (Chacoan peccary). Its description in RNAcentral is "U2 spliceosomal RNA (ENSCWAG00000015777.1)". It matches the Rfam family "U2 spliceosomal RNA". From Rfam's summary of the family: U2 is a small nuclear RNA (snRNA) component of the spliceosome (involved in pre-mRNA splicing). Complementary binding between U2 snRNA (in an area lying towards the 5' end but 3' to hairpin I) and the branchpoint sequence (BPS) of the intron results the bulging out of an unpaired adenosine, on the BPS, which initiates a nucleophilic attack at the intronic 5' splice site, thus starting the first of two transesterification reactions that mediate splicing. Lineage: Eukaryota; Metazoa; Chordata; Mammalia; Artiodactyla; Tayassuidae. The record is from Rfam by way of RNAcentral.